ACGCCUAAUACAUGCAAGUCGAACGAAGUAGCAAUACUUAGUGGCAGACGGGUGAGUAACAUGUAGGUAUCUUCCCUUUGGUGAGGAAUAACACGAGGAAACUUGUGCUAAUACCUCAUAAGUCUUUACGGAGAAAGCUUUAUGCGCCAUUGGAUGAGCCUGCACUUGAUUAGUUUGUUGGUGGGGUAAUGGCCUACCAAGACAAUGAUCAAUAGCUGAUUUGAGAGGAUGAUCAGCCACAUUGGGACUGAGACACGGCCCAAACUCCUACGGGAGGCAGCAGUAGGGAAUCUUGCACAAUGGGGGAAACCCUGAUGCAGCGAUGCCGCGUGAGUGAAGAAGGCCUUUGGGUUGUAAAGCUCUUUCGUCGGGGAAGAAAAUGACUGUACCCGAAUAAGAAGGUCCGGCUAACUUCGUGCCAGCAGCCGCGGUAAUACGAAGGGACCUAGCGUAGUUCGGAAUUACUGGGCUUAAAGAGUUCGUAGGUGGUUAAAAAAGUUGGUGGUGAAAUCCCAGAGCUUAACUCUGGAACUGCCAUCAAAACUUUUUAGCUUGAGUAUGAUAGAGGAAAGCAGAAUUUCUAGUGUAGAGGUGAAAUUCGUAGAUAUUAGAAAGAAUACCAAUUGCGAAGGCAGCUUUCUGGAUCAUUACUGACACUGAGGAACGAAAGCAUGGGUAGCGAAGAGGAUUAGAUACCCUCGUAGUCCAUGCCGUAAACGAUGUGUGUUAGACGUUGGAAAUUUAUUUUCAGUGUCGCAGCGAAAGCAAUAAACACACCGCCUGGGGAG
This 788-nucleotide ribosomal RNA is filed under the name uncultured Pelagibacteraceae bacterium. RNAcentral describes it as "bacterial SSU rRNA". It matches the Rfam family "Bacterial small subunit ribosomal RNA", at positions 44 to 880 of the family's 1533-position model. Lineage: Bacteria; Pseudomonadati; Pseudomonadota; Alphaproteobacteria; Candidatus Pelagibacterales; Candidatus Pelagibacteraceae. The record is from RNAcentral.